This 504-nucleotide ribosomal RNA is filed under the name uncultured bacterium. RNAcentral's name for it is "bacterial SSU rRNA". It matches the Rfam family "Bacterial small subunit ribosomal RNA", at positions 38 to 572 of the family's 1533-position model. The record is from RNAcentral.
GGCGGCGUGGCUAAGAAUGCAAGUCGUACGGUGUAGCAAUACACAGUGGCGAACGGGAGAGUAAUGAAUCGCUAAUGUGCCCCGGACUCUGGGAUAGCUAUCCGAAAGGGUAGGUAAUACCAGAUGACAUAUCUCUAUCGCAUGAUAGAGAUCUCAAAGGUCCGCCGGUCUGGGAGCAGGCGAUUUCGUAUCAGCUAGUUGGUGAGGUAACGGCUCACCAAGGCGACGACGCGUAGCCGGACUGAGAGGUUGGCCGGCCUCAUUGGGACUGAGACACUGCCCAGACUCCUACGGGGGGCUGCAGUAACGAAUCUUCCGCAAUGCACGAAAGUGUGACGGAGCGACGCCGCGUGUAGGACGAAGUCCUUCGGGAUGUAAACUACUGUCAGGGGUUACCAAGUUCUGAGGAGCCCCAGAGGAAGGCACGGCUAACUCUGUGCCAGCAGCCGCGGUAAUACAGAGGUGCCGAGCGUUAGGCGGAAUCACUGGGCUUAAAGCGUGUGU